AACAAGCGCGCAAGGGAUAGUAAAGGAAAGCCCACAGCCCGACGCAGGAGGUGCGAGGACUUGUAUUGGAUAGCCCGACCCUUU
Molecule: unclassified non-coding RNA, 84 nt
Filed under: Algibacter pectinivorans
Lineage: Bacteria; Pseudomonadati; Bacteroidota; Flavobacteriia; Flavobacteriales; Flavobacteriaceae
Description: Flavo-1 RNA
Source: RNAcentral